GCCUUCGUGGUGUAGUGGUCAGCACAAUGGACGCGAAAGCGAAAGGUCUGCGGUUCGAUUCCCGGUGAAGGCG
This 73-nucleotide transfer RNA is filed under the name Stegodyphus mimosarum. It matches the Rfam family "tRNA". From Rfam's summary of the family: Transfer RNA (tRNA) molecules are approximately 80 nucleotides in length. Their secondary structure includes four short double-helical elements and three loops (D, anti-codon, and T loops). The record is from Rfam by way of RNAcentral. Lineage: Eukaryota; Metazoa; Arthropoda; Arachnida; Araneae; Eresidae.